CAGUCGACGACUCUGGUAUUGAUUGGUGCUUGCAUCAUGAUUUACAUUUGAGUGAGUGGCGAACUGGUGAGUAACACGUGGGAAACCUGCCCAGAAGCGGGGGAUAACACCUGGAAACAGAUGCUAAUACCGCAUAACAACUUGGACCGCAUGGUCCGAGCUUGAAAGAUGGCUUCGGCUAUCACUUUUGGAUGGUCCCGCGGCGUAUUAGCUAGAUGGUGGGGUAACGGCUCACCAUGGCAAUGAUACGUAGCCGACCUGAGAGGGUAAUCGGCCACAUUGGGACUGAGACACGGCCCAAACUCCUACGGGAGGCAGCAGUAGGGAAUCUUCCACAAUGGACGAAAGUCUGAUGGAGCAACGCCGCGUGAGUGAAGAAGGGUUUCGGCUCGUAAAACUCUGUUGUUAAAGAAGAACAUAUCUGAGAGUAACUGUUCAGGUAUUGACGGUAUUUAACCAGAAAGCCACGGCUAACUACGUGCCAGCAGCCGCGGUAAUACGUAGGUGGCAAGCGUUGUCCGGAUUUAUUGGGCGUAAAGCGAGCGCAGGCGGUUUUUUAAGUCUGAUGUGAAAGCCUUCGGCUCAACCGAAGAAGUGCAUCGGAAACUGGAAAACUUGAGUGCAGAAGAG
This 630-nucleotide ribosomal RNA is filed under the name Lactiplantibacillus plantarum. RNAcentral's name for it is "bacterial SSU rRNA". It matches the Rfam family "Bacterial small subunit ribosomal RNA", at positions 59 to 656 of the family's 1533-position model. The record is from RNAcentral. Lineage: Bacteria; Bacillati; Bacillota; Bacilli; Lactobacillales; Lactobacillaceae.